Molecule: non-coding RNA, 1216 nt
Organism: Cricetulus griseus (Chinese hamster)
Lineage: Eukaryota; Metazoa; Chordata; Mammalia; Rodentia; Cricetidae
Source: RefSeq, a predicted model, not a curated record
AGAAAACCUGAGAUUGGCCAGCCACUCAGCACUGAUGGGGCAUCUUUAAUGAGUCUCAGAAGGACCCUGAAGCCAGUGACAGGCCUGAACUGGACGUCAUUAAACUUGGGUGUGAGAUCGGCCCCAGACUCUGCUUAUUUGGAUGACCUUAAGCCAACCUGUCACCGGGAGAAAUAGCACUCGAUUGAAAAACUUCACAGCCUGAGAACAUGCAGGGCUAUGGCAUCCCAUAACCAGAAUGUGUGGGACCCACCCCUCUCCCCGUUCUACUGGUGAGAAUGACUUCACCACAUGAGGAUAAAAACGACCUCAGAAAUACUCAUGAGAAAGGAAAAAUUCAGGUACUUUGCUACAUGGCCCUGAAAUGCAAGCAAAACGCAAUUGAUCUAUACCCCAACAGGAGAAAGGUUAAGCACAAAAGAGUUGGGAAGGCAAGCCAGGGUCUCUGCUUCCUGUGACCAUGUCAGACUCACCAAGGAAUGGAGGGAUGUCUGAUAGAGUGGGAAGGAACUCUCCAGCCCAUCAGCUCUUAAGGACUCUGAAAAUGGAUGAGACAGAUGCUUCGGUCCACCUCAAUGGCCCAGAUACCUGCCUCUUCACAUAGCAUCCCUUGGAUCACACACUAAAAUGCAUCCUCAGUAAUUAAGGUAUAGCCUGAGAAUCCCAAAACAAUGAGGUUAAUAUGGCACUGUAACACUGCCUGACCUCAGUACAAACUGGGUGGGAAAACUUUGGCCAAACGAUACAUAUAUAAACUACAACUACAGUACCACUGAAACAAUUUUGUAAGAGACAAGGAAAUGGUCUACAGUGGAAAGAUACUGAAAGAUAAGAUGGCUCUCCUAGAGCAAACAACCAUGGCUUCCUGGUUCCCAGCCCCUUCUGAGAUCAUCUGUUGGCAUAAUCUUGUUACUCUUGCUUAACCCUUACACUUCUAAUGUUAUAACAUUUGUAACUUCUAGUAUAUGUAACAGUUUCAAACUAAACUCCUUGUAAUUCAGGGAGUCCAACCAACUCCUAUGGUAGAAAAGCCAAGCUUCCCCCAUGCCUCCAGCCAGUAGGUAUAGAGUCUUGUGAUCCCUCUUAAGUAGAGACUGUACUCUCAACAACAUGAAACUAAUUACAAAGAAAUUGUCAUUGUAAUUUUGGUCCUAGCUCUCACUCUACUUUCUGCCCCCUCCCCACCAAAAAAAAAAAAAAAAAAAAAAAAAAAAAA